UGCAGAAUCCCGUGAACCAUCGAGUCUUUGAACGCAAGUUGCGCCCGAGGGACCAUCCCGAGGGCACGCCUGCCUGGGCGUUAGAAGCCCAUCCACGCUCGGCGCAUGCCCGAUGCGGACAAUGGCCCUCCGAGCCGCGAGGCGCGACGGGCACAAGUGCAUGGCCGUUGGUUGAGGUCGGGAGCGGCGAGUGGUGGGCUAACUGCGCACGCUGNCUCCGAACCUCACGUCGACUCAAGGCCUAGUCGGACCUCGAAACGAGGAGCACGUCGCCUAGCGCGGCAGAGCCUCGGACCGAUACCCCAGGUCAGGCGUGGCCACCCGCUGAGUUUAAGCAUAUCAAUAAG
This 347-nucleotide ribosomal RNA is filed under the name Eleocharis mamillata. RNAcentral's name for it is "eukaryotic LSU rRNA". The stretch from base 1 to 83 matches the Rfam family "5.8S ribosomal RNA", at positions 73 to 154 of the family's 154-position model. The record is from RNAcentral. Lineage: Eukaryota; Viridiplantae; Streptophyta; Magnoliopsida; Poales; Cyperaceae.